Molecule: ribosomal RNA, 186 nt
Filed under: uncultured bacterium
Lineage: Bacteria
Description: partial 16S ribosomal RNA
Rfam family: Bacterial small subunit ribosomal RNA
Source: RNAcentral
UGGGGAAUAUUGGACAAUGGGCGCAAGCCUGAUCCAGCCAUGCCGCGUGAGUGAUGAAGGCCCUAGGGUUGUAAAGCUCUUUUGUGCGGGAAGAUAAUGACGGUACCGCAAGAAUAAGCCCCGGCUAACUUCGUGCCAGCAGCCGCGGUAAUACGAAGGGGGCUAGCGUUGCUCGGAAUCACUGGG